GCUGGAUAAGAAAUGCAUCGAAGAUAUUAAUCAGCUCAUAGCACAGAGGUUGUGGAUUUUCAAACCAAUCCCCUGUGGAUAACAACUGUCGCAGGGUAUCUGAAUUUGGGGAGAACAUAAGUCCAUGACACAUGUGUACAAAACUUUCAUUGGUAAGAACAAUGGGAGCAAAUAUUUUUGCUACCUACCUAAUCUCUGUGGUAGGACUAAACGUAUUUCAAUUUCUUUUUACAUCAUUUAUACCAGUUUGGGGGACUUUUAAAUGACCAGAACUCACACACACAGGGAUAUUAGUGUCAUAAUAAUAAUAUAUAACAACAUACAACAGAGCAACCAACAAGCUUAACACCUGAGAAAAGAUAGGUGCCUCCCAGAAGUAACAAACAUGAGUACUUGAUUACCUAGGGCACACAUAGCACAGACCAAGAUAUAAUCGCCUUGAAAGUGGAUGAAAAGAAUGCAGCUGAAACAUUUAUCAAAUUAUUGGAGGCCAAAUGUGAACACUAGUGAAGAUCAACUGUGGUUGGAGAAAUGAAGAACAGCAAAACUCUAACCCCGGGACAAGUACAAGAUUACUGAGAAAGCUUCACCCCACAAACUCAGGGGCACUAAGACUGAGGCUGAGCCGUAACGACAGAAUUUUCCCACUGUUAAAGCAAAUAAAUAUGGCCUGAGAAGGAUUUCUAUAUUUGAGUCCUUGUGGACUAACUGCAACCUAGCUUAACAGGGUAAGACCAUUUAAAGGGACCAAAAAUGGAUGAACAUACUUGGCACUAUGAACUAAAAGAUCUUUGGCUAAAGAAGAGAUGAAGACUCAUUCAACUCCUACAAGUGAAUUAAGGAGCUCUGAGAAGGCAAAGCCAGCCCAGGAGGGUGGACACACUAAGAACAAUGUGCCUUGUCCUGAUACACAGUUGUGGUAUAGGUAACAAAAUCUGAGUAUCCAACCUAAGAUGUUACCCCUCACCUCACCAGAAUACCUCCAAUCCCUUCCCUGGAAACACAGAAUAAAUUCCUAUAGAAAGUUAU
RNAcentral lists this long non-coding RNA (1029 nucleotides) under Homo sapiens (human). RNAcentral describes it as "long non-coding RNA NONHSAT158960.1". The record is from RNAcentral. Lineage: Eukaryota; Metazoa; Chordata; Mammalia; Primates; Hominidae.